CUUUCUAAAAGGUUAUACCAGUGUUCAUUGCUCUAUUCCUUUAAGCCUUCCAGUAUUUUCUUAAGGUGCGCAAACUCCAGACCGUCUACCCGGCACUGUGAUGGUGGAGGUUGCUGCUUCAAGGUUGACAGAGCCAGAUGAAAACCUCCAGGAUGGCUGAGUCCACACGGGUAUGCUGCCUGCAAGGGUGAGCUGGAAAAGACAAACCAACCAUAAAUAAGCACGGAGAAAAAAGAUAGGAAGAGAAGCUAGACCCAAACCGAAGAUGAAUAGAAAGAUGGAGUGGAAGGAAGACGGGAGAGGAGCAGAGGUGGGGUCCUGGAGAGAAGGGAGACAGAAGAGGAGGAACAGAGACCACAGGAGCAGGAGAAGAGCAUUCAACAGCUAUGUUUGACUUUAGCAUCCAGGCCGUCCAACCGUGCGGGCACUCUUUCCACGUGCAGCUGGACUCCAGCUCCAGGGACCACCGAGAACUCUCAUCUUUGUGAAUGGUUCUGUGGUCUACAUUACAUCCCACAUAAAAUGCAGCUAUUUCACAGGCUGCAGCCCCACCAAAACAGUCUCAUAAAUAGUUUUUUAAGCUUCCAUU
Molecule: non-coding RNA, 589 nt
Organism: Chlorocebus sabaeus (green monkey)
Lineage: Eukaryota; Metazoa; Chordata; Mammalia; Primates; Cercopithecidae
Source: RefSeq, a predicted model, not a curated record